This 1169-nucleotide long non-coding RNA is filed under the name Zalophus californianus (California sea lion). Its description in RNAcentral is "lncRNA (ENSZCAG00015001616.1)". Lineage: Eukaryota; Metazoa; Chordata; Mammalia; Carnivora; Otariidae. The record is from RNAcentral.
GAGGGGAAGUUGGUGACCAAUUGUUCCCUGGGUCUGGGUUAUUGUGAGGUCAUAUAAUGUCAGUGGUAGUGGUCAGGGUCAUGAGGCAGUUGGCUUCCUUUCAUGUUUCCUUGCCUGCCACAUCCAUAGGGAAAGAACGGGACUACCUAGAAUUACUGGCAUCUUGCUUUUCUGGAGACUGUACCUCCAAGUCGCAGGGAUUAGCACUGCUGUUAUUAUUUAUGAGAACAAUAUCUUCAGUGUGUGCAGGUUCCGUUCACUGAAGAAAAUAUUAGCCUCAUUUUGUGGAGGAAGAAACUGAUCUUGGCGAUGGGCAGUAACACUAAGUAAGGUGACCGGGCACCCCUCGAUCCCAGGCUGUCUGGCACUGCACAGGCUCAGCUGCUGCAUGUUAGCAGGGAAAAGUACAGUAAGGUAGGGGAUCAGGGAGGCUGCCCUGGGCGUUAGCAAAUGCCACAAGGGAGCAAGGGCUCCACCACCUAAGGGCCAUGGCCUUCCUACAGACACGCUACUGAUUAGGCUAAUCAUUACCCUUUAUUCUAAACAAAUUGCACGGUCUAUGCUUGGCGUAUAAGGACAUCAGGAAUACAGACACACGCAGUGGGCUGGGGAGCUGCUCCGAGGGGCAGGCCAUGGAGGGCGUCACUGAGCUGCUAAUAUUUAAGCUGAGCUCUGAAGGACGAGAAGGAGAGGAAGGAAAGAGUGGUAGGAAUAGGGACAGCCCGUAUGAAAACCUUGAGGCAGAAGGCACUGGCACGUUCAUGAACACGGGAAAGGCCAAUGUGGCCGGAGUGGGAAGCGGGGGGCAGUGAGCAGCAGGUCACACUGACAAAGCGCCCACUGGUCCAGGCGCUCUUGGGGGCGCUCUGUGUAUGUUCACUCAUCCAGUCUUCGUGUCCCCCACCCCCCAGGAGGCACCCCAUAGCUCAGAUACGCCGGACACAGUGAUACGCACACCUUCCUCAGCUUUCCGGCUGCCUGCGGCAUCGAGCACAAACCUUUAGCUCGGCAUCUCAGAUGCUUGGAGAAAGAGUUCCAACAGAACUUACUUGCUGUAUUUCCUUUUUAAAUUUUGCUGCGCCUUAGAAUUAACUUUUACUUACAUAAGUAAUACACAAUUAUGUUUUCAUUGUAGGAACUUAAUACAGGUAAAGUUAAAGUCCUUUCUU